AGAGCGAACGCUGGCGGCAGGCCUAACACAUGCAAGUCGAGCGCCCCGCAAGGGGAGCGGCAGACGGGAGAGUAACACGUGGGAACGUACCCUUCAGUUCGGAACAACCCAGGGAAACUUGGGCUAAUACCGAAUACGUCCGUAAGGAGAAAGAUUUAUCGCUGAAGGAUCGGCCCGCGUCUGAUUAGCUUGUUGGUGAGGUAACGGCUCACCAAGGCUACGAUCAGUAGCUGGUCUGAGAGGAUGAUCAGCCUCACUGGGACUGAGACACGGCCCAGACUCCUACGGGAGGCAGCAGUGGGGAAUAUUGGACAAUGGGCGCAAGCCUGAUCCAGCCAUGCCGCGUGGAUGAUGAAGGCCUUAGGGUUGUAAAGUCCUUUCGACGGGGAAGAUAAUGACGGUACCGUAGAAGACGCCCGGCUAACUCGCGCCAGCAGCCGC
RNAcentral lists this ribosomal RNA (441 nucleotides) under uncultured bacterium. RNAcentral's name for it is "SSU rRNA". It matches the Rfam family "Bacterial small subunit ribosomal RNA", at positions 26 to 518 of the family's 1533-position model. The record is from RNAcentral.